AACGCUGGCGGCGUGCCUAAUACAUGCAAGUCGAGCGAACGGACGAGAAGCUUGCUUCUCUGAUGUUAGCGGCGGACGGGUGAGUAACACGUGGAUAACCUACCUAUAAGACUGGGAUAACUUCGGUAAACCGGAGCUAAUACCGGAUAAUAUUUUGAACCGCAUGGUUCAAAAGUAAAAGACGGUCUUGCUGUCACUUAUAGAUGGAUCCGCGCUGCAUUAGCUAGUUGGUAAGGUAACGGCUUACCAAGGCAACGAUGCAUAGCCGACCUGAGAGGGUGAUCGGCCACACUGGAACUGAGACACGGUCCAGACUCCUACGGGAGGCAGCAGUAGGGAAUCUUCCGCAAUGGGCGAAAGCCUGACGGAGCAACGCCGCGUGAGUGAUGAAGGUCUUCGGAUCGUAAAACUCUGUUAUUAGGGAAGAACAUAUGUGUAAGUAACUGUGCACAUCUUGACGGUACCUAAUCAGAAAGCCACGGCUAACUACGUG
This 493-nucleotide ribosomal RNA is filed under the name uncultured bacterium. Its description in RNAcentral is "partial 16S ribosomal RNA". It matches the Rfam family "Bacterial small subunit ribosomal RNA", at positions 32 to 507 of the family's 1533-position model. The record is from RNAcentral.